This 357-nucleotide unclassified non-coding RNA is filed under the name soil metagenome. RNAcentral describes it as "partial contains 5.8S ribosomal RNA, internal transcribed spacer 2, and large subunit ribosomal RNA". The stretch from base 1 to 120 matches the Rfam family "5.8S ribosomal RNA", at positions 35 to 154 of the family's 154-position model. The record is from RNAcentral.
GAUGAAGAACGCAGCGAAAUGCGAUACGUAAUGUGAAUUGCAGAAUUCAGUGAAUCAUCGAAUCUUUGAACGCACAUUGCGCCCGUCAGUAUUCUGGCGGGCAUGCCUGUUCGAGCGUCAUUACGCCCCUCAAGUCCCCUGUGGACUUGGUGUUGGGGAUCGGCGAGGCUGGUUUUCCAGCACAGCCGUCCCUUAAAUUAAUUGGCGGUCUCGCCGUGGCCCUCCUCUGCGCAGUAGUAAAACACUCGCAACAGGAGCCCGGCGCGGUCCACUGCCGUAAAACCCCCCAACUUUUUAUAGUUGACCUCGAAUCAGGUAGGACUACCCGCUGAACUUAAGCAUAUCAAUAAGCGGAGA